Molecule: unclassified non-coding RNA, 96 nt
Organism: Colobus angolensis palliatus
Lineage: Eukaryota; Metazoa; Chordata; Mammalia; Primates; Cercopithecidae
Rfam family: Y RNA
About the family: Y RNAs are components of the Ro ribonucleoprotein particle (Ro RNP), in association with Ro60 and La proteins.
Source: Ensembl
GGCUGGUCCGAUGUCAGUGGGUUAUCAGAACUUACUAACAUUAGUGUCACUGAAGCUGGUAUACAACUCCCCACUGCUAAAUCUGACUGGCUUUAC